UGCGCACCUGCCGCACCAUCACCGGCACCGGGAGCAGCAGCGACGCUAAGUGACACUUCCCAAGCAUUGUGUAACCGACUGGAUUCUCACGGCCGCCCUGUGUAGAAAGUGCCGCGAGUAUCACCUCUAAAAUCAGGAACGUGGAGAUCCCGAGUGAUAGGCGACUCCUUGAAGGGCAGAUCAAUUUGUAGGCCGAACUGAAGUUGGGAGCCAAGGAUUUGCAAAGCCUGAGGGUUCCUGGACACCACACCCUCUUUAGUUUCCGAGGGUCUGGCUAGGUUGCUGAGGCUGGCCUGGAAGCUGGGAUCCUCCUGCCUCAGCCUUGAGUUACUGGGAUUACAGGUGUGCGCCACCGCGUCCUGCUGAGUAGCAAUCUUCAAUGAAGUGUUGGGUGGAGGUCCGCAAAGUCCUCCCUAGAAAGUGCUGGGGAUGGAACCCAAGGCCUCCCGCACGCCAGCUCUGCUCCCGCCCUACGUCCCCAGCCCUGGAAUUUCUUAUGGACCCCACUCUGCAUUUGUCUGGCAGCUGGCUGUCCCCUGCCCUCAGUCAAGUACCGUCACCUACAGUUUGCAGAUGAGGAAACUGAGGGAGCUGAGCUGGGGCCAGGACCGCUGGGGGUCUGAUUCCCAGGACCAGGGUACCAGGGUGCAGGACCCAGGCUGGGAGGAAGGGGCUCCUCUUCUCCAACCCUCCCUCCUUCCCUGGGAAAAUCCAACAGGUGGUGGGGCCGCAGGCACUGGGCCAUUGUGCAGGCCGAGGGUCAGGAGGGCCCAGUGUGUGUCUGGGAGAAGAUGGAUGCUUUCAUUACCAUGUGAAUCCUG
Molecule: long non-coding RNA, 821 nt
Organism: Sciurus carolinensis (gray squirrel)
Lineage: Eukaryota; Metazoa; Chordata; Mammalia; Rodentia; Sciuridae
Exons: 3
Source: RefSeq, a predicted model, not a curated record